GCCUUGUUAGCUCAGUGGUUGGAGCACUGGUCUUGUAAACCAGGGGUCCAGAGUGAAAUUCUCUGAUAGGGCU
Molecule: non-coding RNA, 73 nt
Organism: Xenia sp. Carnegie-2017
Lineage: Eukaryota; Metazoa; Cnidaria; Anthozoa; Malacalcyonacea; Xeniidae
Source: the annotation of a RefSeq genome assembly